This 1740-nucleotide long non-coding RNA is filed under the name Ananas comosus (pineapple). RNAcentral describes it as "long non-coding RNA (ACOM_LNC020281)". The record is from RNAcentral. Lineage: Eukaryota; Viridiplantae; Streptophyta; Magnoliopsida; Poales; Bromeliaceae.
AAUUUUCUAAUUAAGUAAAUAACACUAUAAAAAAAAUAUAUACAUACUAAAUUUUCUUUUGCCAUGUAGAACUUUUGAAUUUUUCCUAAUUUUUCACCAAAGCAAUGAAUUAUUUACCGUCUUUCGCUUAUUUACUAUUUUUUUCUUUUUUCUAUAUAUAACUCUAAUAGCUUUAUAAAAAUUUUAACAAAUCAUAUAUAAUUUUAACAAUCUCAAAAUCGUAAUAAUCUAUUCAUACAAUCCUAACAAUCAAAUAAAAAUUUUAAUAAUUUACCUAUAAUCCUAACAAUUUCUCUUUUUUUUUUUAUUUUCUGUACAAUUCUAAUCAUGACGAAGACGGUGAAUCGUUAAAUGCAAUGAACGAUUCACCGUCUUUAGAAAGCUGGGAGAUUUUCAGAAUGCGGUAAAUGAUUCACCGCGUUUCGAUACGUGGUGAAUAGAAUUAGUUUGCCAAACACAAAUUUUAUAGGAUUAUUUUACAAAUUAUAAAAUUUUAGAGGAUUAUUUGGUAAAAAAGUCCGCGCACACACGCACUCUCAUAAUCCCCAUCAUAAUGAUGACAUCAUCAUCAUCAUAUCAUCAUCAUCAUAUAUACACGUUGGGGAAGUUAUCGGGUACAUUUGCCGCUCCGCACACCCUCUAACUCCUCGCCUCGUGAUUCGCGCUGUGAUUGAUUGGUCAACGCCUUUGACUCUCAUCUCUCCCCCAUCCCAUCUCUCACACUUCCACUGCGACCGUACGUGAAAACGGUUACAACCCCGCCCACCACCAAUUCGAAGAUGUCGCAAACAUCCCCCCCUUUCCCCUCUCUCUCUCUCUCUCUCUCUCUCUCUCUCGAAUUAGGGUUUUUGCGAUCCCAACUCCUCUCCUCACUCGUAUGCUAGGGCUCUAGAACGGGGGAGGGAGAAGGAGCUCACGAUGAGCGGCAAUGGCGGUGCCCUCACCUUCGCCUACUACGUCACCGGCCACGGAUUCGGCCACGCCACCCGCGUCGUCGAGGUAGUUCGGUUCAGUUGGCGAUCUCCCAUACGUUGUNUAUGUGUAUUAAUACAUUAAUAAUUAAUAAUAAUAGAGACCCAAGUUCGAAUCCUAAUUGAUUCACAUUUCUAGCUAAGUUUAUUACUAAAUGAAAUAAACGAAGCGGGUAUCGUGCUAUCUAUAUCUCAAAAAUAAUAAUAAUAAUAAUAAUAAUUAUAGGAAUCCACAAUGUUUCCUUAUCCAAAUAUCCAUUUCAUAUCACUCUCUCACGCUAUAGAACAAAAUAACUAUCCAUGCAACUCCCCCAUUACACACGGAUUUUUUUUUCAAAACGAUCCUAUAAAAUUUUCUAAUUAAGUAAAUAACACUACAAAAAAAAAUAUACAUACUAAAUUUUCUUUUGCCAUGUAGAACUUUUGAAUUUUUUCUAAUUUUUCACAAAAUCGAUAAAUUAUUUACCGUCUUUCGCUUAUUUACUAUUUUUUUCUUUUUUCCAUAUGUAACUCUAACAGCUUUAUAAAAAUUUUAACAAAUCAUAUAUAAUUUUAACAAUCUCAAAAUCGUAAAAAUCUAUUCAUACAAUUUUAACAAUCAAAUAAAAAUUUUAAUAAUUUACCUAUAAUCCUAACAAUUUCUUCUUUUUUUUUUAUUUUCUGUACAAUUCUAACCAUGACGAAGACGGUGAAUCGUUAAAUGCAGUGAACGAUCCACCGCCUUUAAAAAGCUGAGAGAUUUUCAGAAUGUGGUGGAUAAUUUACGGCG